CUCGAUAAUCCACGUACACCCUACCUCUUUUAGAUCUAUCAGCUUGUGUACUGCCGUUGUAAGCACACCUCUAAAAGUAAGAAGUAUGCAAUUAUGACACCACUCAUUUACAUCAGGUCAAAGUGCAGCUAAUAAAGAGGUGACGAUGGGUUACACCCUAAACAAAGACACGGAAUGCGAUAUUAAAAAUCUCAUAAAGGUGGACUUGGCCGUAACAGUAACUCAAAGUUACAAUGAAAACGAAUCUAAGACAUGCACACAUCGCCCGUCACUCUCGCCCAAAGGCGAGAUAAGUCGUAACAAAGUAGGUGUAACGGAAGUUGCACCUGU
Molecule: ribosomal RNA, 330 nt
Filed under: Panoniona leoni
Lineage: Eukaryota; Metazoa; Annelida; Clitellata; Crassiclitellata; Lumbricidae
Description: Allolobophora leoni partial 12S ribosomal RNA
Rfam family: Bacterial small subunit ribosomal RNA
Source: RNAcentral